GACGAACGCUGGCGGCGUGCUUAACACAUGCAAGUCGAACGGAAAGGCCCUGCUUUUGUGGGGUGCUCGAGUGGCGAACGGGUGAGUAACACGUGAGUAACCUGCCCUUGACUUUGGGAUAACUUCAGGAAACUGGGGCUAAUACCGGAUAGGAGCUCCUGCUGCAUGGUGGGGGUUGGAAAGUUUCGGCGGUUGGGGAUGGACUCGCGGCUUAUCAGCUUGUUGGUGGGGUAGUGGCUUACCAAGGCUUUGGCGGGUAGCCGGCCUGAGAGGGUGACCGGCCACACUGGGACUGAGAUACGGCCCAGACUCCUACGGGAGGCAGCAGUGGGGAAUAUUGCACAAUGGGCGGAAGCCUGAUGCAGCAACGCCGCGCGCGGGACGACGGCCUUCGGGUUGUAAGCCGCUUUCGCCUGUGACGAAGCGUGAGUGACGGUAAUGGGUAAAGAAGCACCGGCUAACUACGUGCCAGCAGCCGCGGUGAUACGUAGGGUGCGAGCGUUGUCCGGAUUUAUUGGGCGUAAAGGGCUCGUAGGUGGUUGAUCGCGUCGGAAGUGUAAUCUUGGGGCUUAACCCUGAGCGUGCUUUCGAUACGGGUUGACUUGAGGAAGGUAGGGGAGAAUGGAAUUCCUGGUGGAGCGGUGGAAUGCGCAGAUAUCAGGAGGAACACCAGUGGCGAAGGCGGUUCUCUGGGCCUUUCCUGACGCUGAGGAGCGAAAGCGUGGGGAGCGAACAGGCUUAGAUACCCUGGUAGUCCGCGCUGUAAACGGCGGGUACUAGGUGUGGGGUCCAUUCCACGGGUUCCGUGCCGUAGCUAACGCUUUAAGUACCCCGCCUGGGGAGUACGGCCGCAAGGCUAAAGCUCAAAGGAAUUGACGGGGCCCCGCACAAGCGGCGGAGCAUGCGGAUUAAUUCGAUGCAACGCGUAGAACCUUACCUGGGUUUGACAUGGAUCGGGAGCGCUCAGAGAUGGGUGUGCCUCUUUUGGGGUCGGUUCACAGGUGGUGCAUGGCUGUCGUCAGCUCGUGUCGUGAGAUGUUGGGUUAAGUCCCGCAACGAGCGCAACCCUUGUUCACUGUUGCCAGCACGUUAUGGUGGGGACUCAGUGGAGACCGCCGGGGUCAACUCGGAGGAAGGUGGGGAUGACGUCAAGUCAUCAUGCCCCUUAUGUCCAGGGCUUCACGCAUGCUACAAUGGCUGGUACAGAGAGUGGCGAGCCUGUGAGGGUGAGCGAAUCUCGGAAAGCCGGUCUCAGUUCGGAUUGGGGUCUGCAACUCGACCUCAUGAAGUCGGAGUCGCUAGUAAUCGCAGAUCAGCAACGCUGCGGUGAAUACGUUCCCGGG
This 1343-nucleotide ribosomal RNA is filed under the name uncultured bacterium. Its description in RNAcentral is "16S ribosomal RNA". It matches the Rfam family "Bacterial small subunit ribosomal RNA", at positions 28 to 1378 of the family's 1533-position model. The record is from RNAcentral.